This 97-nucleotide ribosomal RNA is filed under the name Paenibacillus polymyxa. RNAcentral also lists the same sequence under 2 other names. Lineage: Bacteria; Bacillati; Bacillota; Bacilli; Caryophanales; Paenibacillaceae. The record is from RNAcentral.
GGUUCCACACGUACCCAUCCCGAACACGACCGUUAAGCCCUCCAGCGCCGAUGGUACUUGGACCGCAGGGUCCUGGGAGAGUAGGACGCCGCCAAGC